This 301-nucleotide ribosomal RNA is filed under the name uncultured bacterium. Its description in RNAcentral is "partial 16S ribosomal RNA". It matches the Rfam family "Bacterial small subunit ribosomal RNA", at positions 509 to 807 of the family's 1533-position model. The record is from RNAcentral.
CAGUAGCCGCGGUAAUACGAGGGGGGCAAGCGUUGUUCGGAAUUAUUGGGCGUAAAGGGUGCGUAGGCGGUUUGACAAGUCUUGUGUGAAAUCUCUGGGCUCAACCCAGAGUCUGCACGGGAAACUGUCGGGCUAGAGGAUGGGAGAGGUGAGUGGAAUUUCCGGUGUAGCGGUGAAAUGCGUAGAUAUCGGAAGGAACACCUGUGGCGAAAGCGGCUCACUGGACCAUUUCUGACGCUGAUGCACGAAAGCUAGGGGAGCAAACAGGAUUAGAUACCCCGGUAGUCCCUGUCUCUUAUAC